This 303-nucleotide unclassified non-coding RNA is filed under the name plant metagenome. RNAcentral's name for it is "partial contains 5.8S ribosomal RNA, internal transcribed spacer 2, and large subunit ribosomal RNA". The stretch from base 1 to 105 matches the Rfam family "5.8S ribosomal RNA", at positions 50 to 154 of the family's 154-position model. The record is from RNAcentral.
GAAAUGCGAUAAGUAAUGUGAAUUGCAGAAUUCAGUGAAUCAUCGAAUCUUUGAACGCACAUUGCGCCCGCCAGUAUUCUGGCGGGCAUGCCUGUUCGAGCGUCAUUUCAACCAUCAAGCCCCCGGCUUGUGUUGGGGACCUGCGGCUGCCCGCAGGCCCUGAAAACCAGUGGCGGGCUCGCUGUCACACCGAGCGUAGUAGCAUACAUCUCGCUCAGGGCGUGCUGCGGGUUCCGGCCGUUAAAAGCCUUUUUUACCCAAGGUUGACCUCGGAUCAGGUAGGAAGACCCGCUGAACUUAAGC